Molecule: ribosomal RNA, 497 nt
Filed under: uncultured bacterium
Lineage: Bacteria
Description: partial 16S ribosomal RNA
Rfam family: Bacterial small subunit ribosomal RNA
Source: RNAcentral
GAUGAACGCUGGCGGCGUGCCUAAUACAUGCAAGUCGAGCGAACAGACGAGGAGCUUGCUCCUCUGACGUUAGCGGCGGACGGGUGAGUAACACGUGGAUAACCUACCUAUAAGACUGGGAUAACUUCGGGAAACCGGAGCUAAUACCGGAUAAUAUAUUGAACCGAAUGGUUCAAUAGCGAAAGACGGUUUUGCUGUCACUUAUAGAUGGAUCCGCGCCGCAUUAGCUAGUUGGUAAGGUAACGGCUUACCAAGGCAACGAUGCGUAGCCGACCUGAGAGGGUGAUCGGCCACACUGGAACUGAGACACGGUCCAGACUCCUACGGGAGGCAGCAGUAGGGAAUCUUCCGCAAUGGGCGAAAGCCUGACGGAGCAACGCCGCGUGAGUGAUGAAGGUCUUCGGAUCGUAAAACUCUGUUAUUAGGGAAGAACAAAUGUGUAAGUAACUAUGCACGUCUUGACGGUACCUAAUCAGAAAGCCACGGCUAACUACGUG